This 700-nucleotide ribosomal RNA is filed under the name uncultured bacterium. RNAcentral's name for it is "bacterial SSU rRNA". It matches the Rfam family "Bacterial small subunit ribosomal RNA", at positions 42 to 721 of the family's 1533-position model. The record is from RNAcentral.
UCAGGCCUAACACAUGCAAGUCGAGCGGCAGCGACAUGAUAGAAGCUUCGGUGGACAUCAUGGGCGGCGAGCGGCGGACGGGUGAGUAAUGCCUGGGAAUAUGCCCUGGUGUGGGGGAUAACUAUUGGAAACGAUAGCUAAUACCGCAUAAUCUCUUCGGAGCAAAGAGGGGGACCUUCGGGCCUCUCGCGUCAGGAUUAGCCCAGGUGGGAUUAGCUAGUUGGUGGGGUAACGGCUCACCAAGGCGACGAUCCCUAGCUGGUCUGAGAGGAUGAUCAGCCACACUGGAACUGAGACACGGUCCAGACUCCUACGGGAGGCAGCAGUGGGGAAUAUUGCACAAUGGGGGAAACCCUGAUGCAGCCAUGCCGCGUGUAUGAAGAAGGCCUUCGGGUUGUAAAGUACUUUCAGCAGUGAGGAAGGGGUGUACGUUAAUAGCGUAUAUCUUUGACGUUAGCUGCAGAAGAAGCACCGGCUAACUCCGUGCCAGCAGCCGCGGUAAUACGGAGGGUGCGAGCGUUAAUCGGAAUUACUGGGCGUAAAGCGCAUGCAGGCGGUCUGUUAAGCAAGAUGUGAAAGCCCGGGGCUUAACCUCGGAACAGCAUUUUGAACUGGCAGGCUAGAGUCUUGUAGAGGGGGGUAGAAUUUCAGGUGUAGCGGUGAAAUGCGUAGAGAUCUGAAGGAAAACCGGUGGCCAAGG